Molecule: non-coding RNA, 504 nt
Organism: Paramuricea clavata
Lineage: Eukaryota; Metazoa; Cnidaria; Anthozoa; Malacalcyonacea; Plexauridae
Source: the annotation of a GenBank genome assembly
UACAAUUGUAAAUCUCACUUAUAUAAGGUAAUUCACAACCGUGUAUUUGAAUCAAUAAUAACUAUGUUUCUGCAGCAAAAUACAUAGUAAGUUGUUCUGAUCGCAAUCGUCGUCAUUCGUUUAAAGCAGUAUUUUUGGCGGUUUUUAUCGAAGCCAAGAUCAUUAAGCAUGUCCAUGAAAGUCAAGCAUUCUUUUGCAAAAACUCCAAGACUGCUAAUUGAAAUAUUUAUAAAUUUGACGUUCUCGGAAUGCUCGCUUUGUUCCCUAAUCAAUUCUGAGUAUUUGGCCUUUUUGCGUUGAACAUUCUUUUCGAGAUUAGACUCGUACCCAACAGUUAGUUCCACGAUAUAUAAACAUCCACUUGAGGAGUUGAGGUUGACAGCAGCAAAUCAGGACGAUAACAGUCACCAGUAAUGAUGGAUGGACUUUUGUAUCCUGGGAGAUCCACAUAAAGACAUGAUCCGCUGACAGUCGGCAGGUUCGUCGCAAGAAAGUUUAAGACAG